GAGUUUGAUCCUGGCUCAGAGUGAACGCUGGCGGUAGGCCUAACACAUGCAAGUCGAACGGCAGCACAGGAGAGCUUGUUCUCUGGGUGGCGAGUGGCGGACGGGUGAGGAAUACAUCGGAAUCUACUCUGUCGUGGGGGAUAACGUAGGGAAACUUACGCUAAUACCGCAUACGACCUAAGGGUGAAAGUGGGGGACCGCAAGGCCUCACGCGAUUGAAUGAGCCGAUGUCGGAUUAGCUAGUUGGCGGGGUAAAGGCCCACCAAGGCGACGAUCCGUAGCUGGUCUGAGAGGAUGAUCAGCCACACUGGAACUGAGACACGGUCCAGACUCCUACGGGAGGCAGCAGUGGGGAAUAUUGGACAAUGGGCGCAAGCCUGAUCCAGCCAUACCGCGUGAGUGAAGAAGGCCCUCGGGUUGUAAAGCUCUUUU
This 432-nucleotide ribosomal RNA is filed under the name uncultured Gammaproteobacteria bacterium. RNAcentral describes it as "bacterial SSU rRNA". It matches the Rfam family "Bacterial small subunit ribosomal RNA", at positions 9 to 437 of the family's 1533-position model. Lineage: Bacteria; Pseudomonadati; Pseudomonadota; Gammaproteobacteria. The record is from RNAcentral.